This 484-nucleotide ribosomal RNA is filed under the name uncultured bacterium. RNAcentral describes it as "partial 16S ribosomal RNA". It matches the Rfam family "Bacterial small subunit ribosomal RNA", at positions 28 to 523 of the family's 1533-position model. The record is from RNAcentral.
GUCGAACGCUGGCGGCGUGCUUAACACAUGCAAGUCGAACGAUGAACCUGGAGCUUGCUCCGGUGGAUUAGUGGCGAACGGGUGAGUAACACGUGAGUAACCUGCCCUUGACUCUGGGAUAACUGCGGGAAACUGUAGCUAAUACCGGAUACGACCCUCGGCGGCAUCGCCAGGGGGUGGAAAGAAUUUCGGUCAAGGAUGGACUCGCGGCCUAUCAGCUAGUUGGUGAGGUAACGGCUCACCAAGGCGACGACGGGUAGCCGGCCUGAGAGGGUGACCGGCCACACUGGGACUGAGACACGGCCCAGACUCCUACGGGAGGCAGCAGUGGGGAAUACUGCACAAUGGGCGCAAGCCUGAUGCAGCAACGCCGCGUGAGGGAUGACGGCCUUCGGGUUGUAAACCUCUUUUAGUAGGGAAGAAGCGAAAGUGACGGUACCUGCAGAAAAAGCACCGGCUAACUACGUGCCAGCCGCCGCGGUAA